Hydractinia symbiolongicarpus is the source of this 1088-nucleotide long non-coding RNA. RefSeq lists it as uncharacterized. The transcript has 3 exons. Lineage: Eukaryota; Metazoa; Cnidaria; Hydrozoa; Anthoathecata; Hydractiniidae. The record is from RefSeq and is a predicted model, not a curated record.
AUGAGACGAGUUGGCAGUACUUGUAUUGUCUCACUGGAUGAAACAGUAAUCCCCACAUUCCGAGUAGAUGGUCCAUUUGGAAGUCCUAAUCAGGUAUUAUAUUAUAUCCUCUUCUUACAAUCUCAAACUCAUAACUCGUUUUGCUUUUUUCCCCUUAUUGUUUUGAUUCUUCUGUACUUAAUCUUAUUGUCCAAUAGGAUGGUUUUCAUCAUCGUGUCAAUGUUAGUGUUGCUGCUGGAAUAGGAAUCACACCAUAUGCAGCUGUUCUUAAUUUUCUUAAGUAAGUAUCUUGUGUACUGUAUGAAAUCAACAUAUGCAUGAAAUAAUUUACAAUACUUAUGCCAUCUCUAAAACAAUUUUUUUCUUUCUUUUUAUCUUUCAAAACAACUUUUACAAUAUUAAUUUUGUUUACCCUUUUCUAUAGACGAUUUAAUCCUAACAAAGUCCAUAAAGAUUUCAAACUUGAAAGAUUACAUUUGAUUUGGGUUUGUAAAGAUGUAAACGAGUUUAGUUGGGUUGUUGAUUUAAUCAAAGAAGUGAGAAAGCAUGUAAGUUACAUUCUAUCAAUUUUUAUCUUAAUUAAACCAUAAACUUCUUAAUGCAAUAAAGAUAUUAGCGUUUAAAUCAUGUUUAAUUUUAUAUAUGUUUGUUAUUAUAGUUAAUUCAAAUCAAACGUGAAGACAUUCUAAAAGUUCAAUUAUUCGUGACACAAAAAUACAAAGUGAAUAUUGACUCACAAGCACAACUGGCAAAGAAUGCCUUUCCACAAUGUGAAGGUUGCGUGACUGAGGAAUGGUUUAAAGAUAAUAUGAAGCAAGGUCGACCAGAUUUGAAAGAAGUAUUAACAAAAAUAGCCAUGCAACACGAAAGAGAAAAGAUUGGAUUAUUCUACUGUGGUGCAAAAGGAUUGGGGAAAAUGCUGAGUGAUACAUCUCUUAAAAUUACCCAAGGAGGCAACACAUUCAUAUUCAGAAAAGAGAGUUUUUAAUUAUUAUAAUUAUUAUAAUUUAAAUCUAUUAAUUUGUAUAAUUUUAGUUUAUUAUUUUGUAAUUUUGUAGUUAUAUAAAUCACUUAACAUUAAUAUUAUU